AUCCAAUGACGAGGACACUUACGAAGUAAUUCCAUGAAUCUUUCCCAUGCCUUGUACAAGGACUCGUCUUCCAACUAUUAGAAAGUAGUUAUCUCAUAACGCAACUU
Molecule: non-coding RNA, 107 nt
Organism: Gossypium arboreum
Lineage: Eukaryota; Viridiplantae; Streptophyta; Magnoliopsida; Malvales; Malvaceae
Source: Rfam